Molecule: ribosomal RNA, 478 nt
Filed under: Neisseria pharyngis
Lineage: Bacteria; Pseudomonadati; Pseudomonadota; Betaproteobacteria; Neisseriales; Neisseriaceae
Description: bacterial SSU rRNA
Rfam family: Bacterial small subunit ribosomal RNA
Source: RNAcentral
AUUGAACGCUGGCGGCAUGCUUUACACAUGCAAGUCGGACGGCAGCACAGAGAAGCUUGCUUCUUGGGUGGCGAGUGGCGAACGGGUGAGUAACAUAUCGGAACGUACCGAGCAGUGGGGGAUAACUAAUCGAAAGAUUAGCUAAUACCGCAUAUAUUCUGAGGAAGAAAGCAGGGGACCAUUUGGCCUUGCGCUGUUUGAGCGGCCGAUAUCUGAUUAGCUAGUUGGUGGGGUAAAGGCCUACCAAGGCGACGAUCAGUAGCGGGUCUGAGAGGAUGAUCCGCCACACUGGGACUGAGACACGGCCCAGACUUCCUACGGGAGGCAGCAGUGGGGAAUUUUGGACAAUGGGCGCAAGCCUGAUCCAGCCAUGCCGCGUGUCUGAAGAAAGGGCUUCGGGUUGUAAAGGACUUUUGCCAGGGAAGAAAAGGAUAGGGUUAAUACCCCUGUCUGAUGACGUACCUGAAGAAUAACACCG